This 312-nucleotide ribosomal RNA is filed under the name uncultured Glomeromycotina. RNAcentral describes it as "LSU rRNA". The record is from RNAcentral. Lineage: Eukaryota; Fungi; Glomeromycota.
UUGAAAGGGAAACGAUUGAAGUCAGUCAUGCCGACGGGAAUCAACUUAGGGGAAACUCUAGGUGCACUUCUUCGCUUGGCAGGUCAACGUCGAUUUUGAAUGUCAUAAAAUAAUUGGGGGAAGGUAGCUCCUUCGGGAGUGUUAUAGCCCUUGAUAGAUGUGAUGUUUGGGGUCGAGGAUUGCAACGGAUACCCUCUGGGGCUAGCCGCCUGAUCUCUAAUCGGUGUUGGGUUACGGAUAGCAUGCUGACCGUUUUCUAAUUACUGGUUAAAAGGUUAGAGCGUGCAUAAAUUCGUUAAGGAUGUUGACGUA